Molecule: ribozyme, 102 nt
Filed under: Anopheles gambiae (African malaria mosquito)
Lineage: Eukaryota; Metazoa; Arthropoda; Insecta; Diptera; Culicidae
Description: drz-agam-1 ribozyme
Rfam family: drz-agam-1 ribozyme
Source: Rfam by way of RNAcentral
AUUUUCAGAACUCCGACCCCAACCUCCACGUGGUGCUGGCUGGACUACAACUGUUGCACAAAAUGUAUGCAAAAUGUAACAAUUGUAUACCAACUGGGGCGG